CAAGGCGAGAGACAGAUGGAAGGAAGCGGCGGUAAAUAACACGUCCGCCCUGAAAUGGACAUAAAUUCAGGCCGAGAUUCUGUCCUGGUGUCCUGAUGACAUGAACCACAGGAACAGAGCUAAGGGAGAUUUUAAAAUGUCAUCACCAGGCUCCUCUACGGAACUGCAGCUUUGUUCUUUAUUCAGCGCCGUCAGGAACAUAUAAUUCCUCAUGCCCCGCGUUGCUGGAGGACUUCCGGCUUGGCUGUUCUGCCGGGUUCCACGCCACGUCACCGUGUCCACGUGAGGCGUUCUUUGUCAAGUUGCUAGAAGGGGAAGGAGGAUUGUCUUUUUUAAAAUAAAUGUCAUCUGGGGUCAUGGCAGACCGGGAAGAAAGUGGCAAGAAGGCUGAGGUCAAGGGAGCAGAGGGAUGCAAGUCCCUGCCUGCUGAGGACCAGGACUCGGCGAGCUACACAAGUCCACAAGCAGCAUGCUGUCCAAACCCCAGCCUGCUCCCUCUGGCACGACCGCUGGCUGGGGACCUUUGGUGGAAGAGAACUGUCUGUUCCUGGCACAGAGAAGGCACUGGACAACUCUUUCCAGGUGAGAUCCCUUCCAAGCGUGGCUGCCUCCCAGCUCUUGAGUUCAGCUUUCUCCUCGGUGGGCUUCCUGGUCAGGACCCCCUGCGUCUCCUUCCCAAGGUCGCCUCCAUUUCAGAACCCAACCUCUCCCACGGACUGUGAGUCCCCACUUCCCUCCUGCCUUUCUGGCCUGGCCCCGUCCCCCACUAAGCCAGGGCCAUCCUCCUAAACCCUGGUCCAGCCUCUGAUGCUGGAUGUGGCCAGAUGGAAAAUGGAGAGAAGAGAAAUGGACGGAGUGGUGAGUGUUUGGUAGAGCUAGAUUUCGCAGUCCCUUUAUAGACCUGCCCUCUAUUCUGAGAUCCUUUCUAUCUUUUGGUGUUAGAAGGUCCUUUGUUACAUAAACUGACGGAGCUGUUGGAUGGCAAAUGCUUUAAAAGUUGUACUUACUCAGAGAAAAAGUUGGCCACCCCGCUCACUCCCUACUUUUCUGUUUUGAAAUUUUGCCAGACGGAGCCAUCAAGGUGUCGGGUUGGGGGCUGCGUCUCCAGGUGAGUGUGCCGCGGGGCGGGGCUUCCCAGCAGAGGGCUGGAGUUAAGUUGGAGGCCCAGAAAAGAGCACCGCUGUUGCAGAACCCUGCGAUUCUUUCCGACACCUUACUUUCUACCAACCUACUGGGCUGGGUCCUGGGGAUACCAAGACGCAUGACACAGUCCCUGCUUUCAGGUCGUGGGCGGGGGGUGCUGCCAAGAGUUAAAUGCAAAAAGUGUCCCUUGGUGAGAAACAAAGUGCCUUCAGAGGGUGGGACCACUGCGGGCAUCACACGUCCCCGCAGCAAAGCCGCAGCGGUUACCUGGUUAGUCACAGAGCCUGGAGUUGCUUUCCAUUAAAUGGGACAAAAAUCUACACCCCAGGGACAAUACCUGCCCCCGUUCAUUGGCCAAAAUGGAUAAAUGUCUAUGUGUGUGUCGACGGGUGUGUUUUACACAUAAACCCAUAUCGCAAGCAUUUUGUAGCCAUUUGUUAGUGUGUUAGCUUCACGUUGGUGGUGAAGAUCUGGAGGAGUGAGGUUCGCAGGUGUGGAAAUAGGUUUUUGUGUUGUGGCUGGUCCUUGCCUGCAUAUGUGUAGCGGGCAGAGAGAGGGAGAGAGAACCGACUGCCUGGGAUAGAAACAGCUCUGAGCUGUCUCCUAUGAUCUGCUCUCUCUGUGCCUGAGUUUCUAGCGAGAUCAGCCGGAAGAAGAACCAGAAUGGAAAGGAGUUUCCUGGUAGAAGAGGAGACCGUUUUCAGGGCAUGGCGUGGUGGACAGCAUCACCCCAUUUUAUAGAUGGGAGUGGACACUCAGAGGAGUGAAGACACUGUUUGGGGAUACAGAGCUGGGGUUUGGACCCAGGGCUGUUCCUCUCCUGGGCUCCUGACCCCUGAGCCGGAUCUUCAACCAGUAAGUGCGCCAGCUUCUGAGUCUGCAGGCCCUGCUGGAAAUUCUGAGGCCCCCACCAGAGACCUGUGCUUUAGGAUCUCUGAGAAUCCAUUUCCUGCUCUGUAAAAUGAGGGAAAUACCAGGCAGCUCUGCUCCAGAAAUGAGAAUUAAAGAAAGAAAGGUACACGGAACCCUGGGUGGGGUGCCAGCCUUUAUCUGCCCAGCUGCGAAUGUUUGGGAAUGAGUUUUCCACUGAAAUUUUCUUUAAGUAGAGGGGAAAUAUCCAGAUAAAACCUAAACAUCUUGGCUCAUUGCACAUGCACGCACACUCAGAUCUGUCUUCACACACACGGUCA
Molecule: non-coding RNA, 2333 nt
Organism: Vicugna pacos (alpaca)
Lineage: Eukaryota; Metazoa; Chordata; Mammalia; Artiodactyla; Camelidae
Source: RefSeq, a predicted model, not a curated record